This is a long non-coding RNA of Pseudophryne corroboree (corroboree frog), 622 nucleotides long. RefSeq lists it as uncharacterized. The record is from RefSeq and is a predicted model, not a curated record. The transcript has 4 exons. Lineage: Eukaryota; Metazoa; Chordata; Amphibia; Anura; Myobatrachidae.
AAGGGGCAGGCAUAUUACAGAUGUAGCACCAGUAAUCAGCUGAGAUCUGUUGCGUUAGGAGGCAGCACUAUAGCAUAGCAGACUGCAGCUGAAUGUCAGACACUGUCUAUGGCAAGGUCCCCUGAGAAUACAGCGCCGUGUCCGGGCCGCCUGGCGUCAACGGUAACCACGGCAACUAGACGCGAUGUGGAUGACGUCAUCUUAGCGGGACCGGAAGCGAAGCAAACAGCCAGCGCGGCCGGGAUGGCGUCUGCACACUGAGCGGGAUUCUUAGGUAUUUAAGGUUUCACGGUGUAGCCCUCCCAAAGCCAAAUUACCCGCUCCGGUGUAAAGUGACGCUAAAGUACCCCCUCUACCAUGGACGGCCUACUUGUGAUGUGGACCUUCUCCACCACCAUGUUACAAAGACACCCCUCAGGUUUCAUGGAGUAGCCCUCCCAAAGAUAGAAGACCCAUCUCCGGUGUAAAGUGACGCUAAAGUACCCCCCUCUACCAUGACGGCCUACCUCAAGACCUACAAUACCCCCACAUCCCUUAAAUGCCUUAUUGUAAAUUACAUUUACUAUAUUUGAAAGAAAAAACACAAAACUUCUAAAUUUAACAUUUUAUUGAAGAAAAUUAA